RNAcentral lists this ribosomal RNA (253 nucleotides) under uncultured bacterium. Its description in RNAcentral is "partial 16S ribosomal RNA". It matches the Rfam family "Bacterial small subunit ribosomal RNA", at positions 524 to 776 of the family's 1533-position model. The record is from RNAcentral.
UACGUAGGGUGCAAGCGUUGUCCGGAAUUAUUGGGCGUAAAGAGCUCGUAGGCGGCUUGUCGCGUCGGCUGUGAAAACCUGGGGCUCAACCCCGGGCCUGCAGCCGAUACGGGCAAGCUAGAAUUCGGUAGGGGAGACUGGAAUUCCUGGUGUAGCGGUGAAAUGCGCAGAUAUCAGGAGGAACACCGGUGGCGAAGGCGGGUCUCUGGACCGUUACUGACGCUGAGGAGCGAAAGCGUGGGGAGCGAACAGG